RNAcentral lists this ribosomal RNA (450 nucleotides) under uncultured bacterium. RNAcentral's name for it is "bacterial SSU rRNA". It matches the Rfam family "Bacterial small subunit ribosomal RNA", at positions 354 to 796 of the family's 1533-position model. The record is from RNAcentral.
GUGGGGAAUUUUGGACAAUGGGCGAAAGCCUGAUCCAGCAAUGCCGCGUGUGUGAUGAAGGCCUUCGGGUUGUAAAGCACUUUUGGCGGGAACGAAAAGGACUGUGCCAAUACCACGGUUCGAUGACGGUACCCGCAGAAUAAGCACCGGCUAACUACGUGCCAGCAGCCGCGGUAAUACGUAGGGUGCAAGCGUUAAUCGGAAUUACUGGGCGUAAAGAGUGCGCAGGCGGUUUUGCAAGACCGAUGUGAAAUCCCCGGGCUUAACCUGGGAACUGCAUUGGUGACUGCAAGGCUAGAGUGUGUCAGAGGGAGGUGGAAUUCCGCAUGUAGCAGUGAAAUGCGUAGAUAUGCGGAGGAACACCGAUGGCGAAGGCAGCCUCCUGGGAUAACACUGACGCUCAUGCACGAAAGCGUGGGGAGCAAACAGGAUUAGAAACCCUGGUAGUCC